AGAGUUUGAUCCUGGCUCAGAACGAACGCUGGCGGCAGGCUUAACACAUGCAAGUCGAACGAUCCCUUCGGGGAUAGUGGCAGACGGGUGAGUAACACGUGGGAAUCUACCUAGUUCUACGGAAUAACGCAGGGAAACUUGUGCUAAUACCGUAUACGCCCUAAGGGGGAAAGAUUUAUCGGAAUUAGAUGAGCCCGCGUAAGAUUAGCUAGUUGGUGGGGUAAUGGCCUACCAAGGCGACGAUCUUUAGCUGGUCUGAGAGGAUGAUCAGCCACACUGGGACUGAGACACGGCCCAGACUCCUACGGGAGGCAGCAGUGGGGAAUAUUGGACAAUGGGCGAAAGCCUGAUCCAGCCAUGCCGCGUGAGUGAUGAAGGCCUUAGGGUUGUAAAGCUCUUUCAGUAGGGAAGAUAAUGACGGUACCUACAGAAGAG
This 435-nucleotide ribosomal RNA is filed under the name uncultured bacterium. RNAcentral's name for it is "bacterial SSU rRNA". It matches the Rfam family "Bacterial small subunit ribosomal RNA", at positions 8 to 489 of the family's 1533-position model. The record is from RNAcentral.